CCUACGGGAGGCAGCAGUGGGGAAUAUUGGGCAAUGGGCGCAAGCCUGACCCAGCAACGCCGCGUGAAGGAAGAAGGCUUUCGGGUUGUAAACUUCUUUUCUCAGGGACGAAGAAAGUGACGUUACCUGAGGAAUAAGCCACGGCUAACUACGUGCCAGCAGCCGCGGUAAUACGUAGGUGGAAAGCGUUAUCCGGAUUUAUUGGGAGGAAGGGGCGAGUAGGCGGGAGCGCAAGUCAGAUGUGAAAAAUCAGGGCUCAACCCUGGACCUGCAUUUGAAACUGGGUAUCUUGAGUGCUGGAGAGGCGAUCAGAAUUCCGUGUGUAGCGGUGAAAUGCGUAGAUAUGCGGAGGAACACCAGUGGCGAAGGCGGAUUGCUGGACAGUAACUGACGCUGAGGCGCGAAAGCGUGGGGAGCAAACAGGAUUAGAUACCCGAGUAGUC
RNAcentral lists this ribosomal RNA (443 nucleotides) under uncultured bacterium. RNAcentral's name for it is "partial 16S ribosomal RNA". It matches the Rfam family "Bacterial small subunit ribosomal RNA", at positions 338 to 795 of the family's 1533-position model. The record is from RNAcentral.